Molecule: ribosomal RNA, 3112 nt
Filed under: Salmonella enterica subsp. enterica serovar Typhimurium
Lineage: Bacteria; Pseudomonadati; Pseudomonadota; Gammaproteobacteria; Enterobacterales; Enterobacteriaceae
Description: 23S ribosomal RNA
Rfam family: Bacterial large subunit ribosomal RNA
Source: RNAcentral
GGGUUGUGAGGUUAAGCGACUAAGCGUACACGGUGGAUGCCCUGGCAGUCAGAGGCGAUGAAGGGCGUGCUAAUCUGCGAUAAGCGCCGGUAAGGUGAUAUGAACCGUUAUAACCGGCGAUACCCGAAUGGGGAAACCCAGUGUGACUCGUCACACUAUCAUUAACUGAAUCCAUAGGUUAAUGAGGCGAACCGGGGGAACUGAAACAUCUAAGUACCCCGAGGAAAAGAAAUCAACCGAGAUUCCCCCAGUAGCGGCGAGCGAACGGGGAGGAGCCCAGAGCCUGAAUCAGCAUGUGUGUUAGUGGAAGCGUCUGGAAAGGCGCGCGAUACAGGGUGACAGCCCCGUACACAAAAGCGCAUGUGCUGUGAGCUCGAUGAGUAGGGCGGGACACGUGGUAUCCUGUCUGAAUAUGGGGGGACCAUCCUCCAAGGCUAAAUACUCCUGACUGACCGAUAGUGAACCAGUACCGUGAGGGAAAGGCGAAAAGAACCCCGGCGAGGGGAGUGAAAAAGAACCUGAAACCGUGUACGUACAAGCAGUGGGAGCCCCACCACUAAGCCAGUGGUGAACUCCACAUCCGCAUCCUUUGCUGAGGAUACGGUUAACGGAGCGAAAGCGACGUUCAACCGCAAAACAAGCAGAGGGGGCUUAGUGGUGGGGUGACUGCGUACCUUUUGUAUAAUGGGUCAGCGACUUAUAUUCUGUAGCAAGGUUAACCGUAUAGGGGAGCCGGAGGGAAACCGAGUCUUAAUUGGGCGUUAAGUUGCAGGGUAUAGACCCGAAACCCGGUGAUCUAGCCAUGGGCAGGUUGAAGGUUGGGUAACACUAACUGGAGGACCGAACCGACUAAUGUUGAAAAAUUAGCGGAUGACCUGUGGCUGGGGGUGAAAGGCCAAUCAAACCGGGAGAUAGCUGGUUCUCCCCGAAAGCUAUUUAGGUAGCGCCUCGUGAAUUCAUCUCCGGGGGUAGAGCACUGUUUCGGCUAGGGGGCCAUCCCGGCUUACCAACCCGAUGCAAACUGCGAAUACCGGAGAAUGUUAUCACGGGAGACACACGGCGGGUGCUAACGUCCGUCGUGAAGAGGGAAACAACCCAGACCGCCAGCUAAGGUCCCAAAGUCAUGGUUAAGUGGGAAACGAUGUGGGAAGGCCCAGACAGCCAGGAUGUUGGCUUAGAAGCAGCCAUCAUUUAAAGAAAGCGUAAUAGCUCACUGGUCGAGUCGGCCUGCGCGGAAGAUGUAACGGGGCUAAACCAUGCACCGAAGCUGCGGCAGCGAACGUAUCACCCAAGACAACUUUACGGAGUUGACGAUUGACGGAGCGAAGCGACGUCAAAGCGUUCAUUAAAGUCGAGUUGGCUUAGGGAUACGUUCGUUGGGUAGGGGAGCGUUCUGUAAGCCUGUGAAGGUGUGUCGUGAGGCAUGCUGGAGGUAUCAGAAGUGCGAAUGCUGACAUAAGUAACGAUAAAGCGGGUGAAAAGCCCGCUCGCCGGAAGACCAAGGGUUCCUGUCCAACGUUAAUCGGGGCAGGGUGAGUCGACCCCUAAGGCGAGGCCGAAAGGCGUAGUCGAUGGGAAACGGGUUAAUAUUCCCGUACUUGGUGUUACUGCGAAGGGGGGACGGAGAAGGCUAUGUUGGCCGGGCGACGGUUGUCCCGGUUUAAGCGUGUAGGUGUGUGUUCCAGGUAAAUCCGGUUCACUUUAACACUGAGGCGUGAUGACGAGGCACUACGGUGCUGAAGCAACAAAUGCCCUGCUUCCAGGAAAAGCCUCUAAGCAUCAGGUAACAUCAAAUCGUACCCCAAACCGACACAGGUGGUCAGGUAGAGAAUACCAAGGCGCUUGAGAGAACUCGGGUGAAGGAACUAGGCAAAAUGGUGCCGUAACUUCGGGAGAAGGCACGCUGACACGUAGGUGAAGUGAUUUACUCACGGAGCUGAAGUCAGUCGAAGAUACCAGCUGGCUGCAACUGUUUAUUAAAAACACAGCACUGUGCAAACACGAAAGUGGACGUAUACGGUGUGACGCCUGCCCGGUGCCGGAAGGUUAAUUGAUGGGGUCAGCGCAAGCGAAGCUCCUGAUCGAAGCCCCGGUAAACGGCGGCCGUAACUAUAACGGUCCUAAGGUAGCGAAAUUCCUUGUCGGGUAAGUUCCGACCUGCACGAAUGGCGUAAUGAUGGCCAGGCUGUCUCCACCCGAGACUCAGUGAAAUUGAACUCGCUGUGAAGAUGCAGUGUACCCGCGGCAAGACGGAAAGACCCCGUGAACCUUUACUAUAGCUUGACACUGAACAUUGAGCCUUGAUGUGUAGGAUAGGUGGGAGGCUUUGAAGUGUGGACGCCAGUCUGCAUGGAGCCGACCUUGAAAUACCACCCUUUAAUGUUUGAUGUUCUAACGUGGACCCGUAAUCCGGGUUGCGGACAGUGUCUGGUGGGUAGUUUGACUGGGGCGGUCUCCUCCUAAAGAGUAACGGAGGAGCACGAAGGUUGGCUAAUCCUGGUCGGACAUCAGGAGGUUAGUGCAAUGGCAUAAGCCAGCUUGACUGCGAGCGUGACGGCGCGAGCAGGUGCGAAAGCAGGUCAUAGUGAUCCGGUGGUUCUGAAUGGAAGGGCCAUCGCUCAACGGAUAAAAGGUACUCCGGGGAUAACAGGCUGAUACCGCCCAAGAGUUCAUAUCGACGGCGGUGUUUGGCACCUCGAUGUCGGCUCAUCACAUCCUGGGGCUGAAGUAGGUCCCAAGGGUAUGGCUGUUCGCCAUUUAAAGUGGUACGCGAGCUGGGUUUAGAACGUCGUGAGACAGUUCGGUCCCUAUCUGCCGUGGGCGCUGGAGAACUGAGGGGGGCUGCUCCUAGUACGAGAGGACCGGAGUGGACGCAUCACUGGUGUUCGGGUUGUCAUGCCAAUGGCACUGCCCGGUAGCUAAAUGCGGAAGAGAUAAGUGCUGAAAGCAUCUAAGCACGAAACUUGCCCCGAGAUGAGUUCUCCCUGAGACUUUAGGUCUCCUGAAGGAACGUUGAAGACGACGACGUUGAUAGGCCGGGUGUGUAAGCGCAGCGAUGCGUUGAGCUAACCGGUACUAAUGAACCGUGAGGCUUAACCUUACAACGCCGAAG